AGAACAUCACGCAGCGCGGCAACGUCGCCAAGACCUCGAGAAAUGCUCCCGAAGAGAAGGCGUCCGUGGGACCCUGGCUGCUGGCUCUCUUUAUUUUCGUCGUUUGUGGUUCUGCAAUUUUCCAGAUUAUUCAAAGUAUCAGGAUGGGCAUGUGAAGUGGCUGACCUUAAGAUGUUUCCAUUCUCCUGUGAAUUUUAACUUGAACUCAUUCCCAAUGUUUGAUACCCUGGUUAAAAACAAUUCAGUAAAGUAUCCUGCCUCAGAAUGACUUUUCAUACCAUC
This is a long non-coding RNA of Equus quagga, 282 nucleotides long. RefSeq lists it as uncharacterized. Lineage: Eukaryota; Metazoa; Chordata; Mammalia; Perissodactyla; Equidae. The record is from RefSeq and is a predicted model, not a curated record. The transcript has 3 exons.